AUGUGGAGACAGAGGGAUGGUCAGAGGGAUAUGGUGGGAGGAUCCAAAGUUACUGUUGCUGUCUUUGAAGAUAUAGGAAGGGGCCUUGAGCCAAGGGAUGCUGAUGGCUUCGGAAAGGUGAGGAAAGGGAUCAGACCCUUGAGCCCUCAUGGAGUCAUGCAGCCCUGUGCUGGACUUCGGACCUCCAAAACAGUAAGGAGAGCUGCAUUUCUCCUGGACCCCCGGGAAGAAUGCCCACCCCCCCAACCCCGAGCACUCAGAGACCACACAGCAGACCUCCCUGACACCUGCUUUUCUCAUAGCCCUUGUACUUCUCGAGACCACAAGAAGUGCACACAGCAGGAAGCUGCUUAGCAACUGCACGUAGGAAAUGAGGAUUCCAAAAUAUUACUGUGAGUUUCUUCCUCCCUACUUUGUUCUCCUGGGCUGUUUCAGUUCUUCACGACUCAGUCACUGGUCCGUCCCACAACAUGCUAACCGGUUCUGCAGGCCCCAGGACGUGAACUGUGCCGACGCCUGGCGUGCCUUCCUGGGGGGGGCUGCAGGUGGAGGUCCUAGGGGACUGCCUCACAGAGCCAGCUGGUCCCCAAGGGGGGUUCUGGGGGGAUGUGACUCUCAGGCCCCUGGGGUUCUCUGGGGCUGAGCUGACCUGGCCCGAGUUCCCUUUACUCUCACCCCCUCACCUGUGCACUCUGGCUGCCUCCCCGUGCUUCCAUGCUUCCUCUCUUGGCGGGAUGAGACCCUCAUCCCUCACCCUUGGUCUCCGACCCUGUGCAUAUGCGUCACCAUCUCCACAUCCCUUUUGUUCCGCUGUCCUCUGUGUCUCUCCCUGUGUCUCCCUCAGCUUCUUUUUAUUUCGGACUCUCUCUCUCUCUGUGUCUCUGACUUUGUCUCUUUCUGUCUCUAAGUGUCUCCAUCUCUCACCAUCUCUGUAUCUCUUGGUGUUUCAUUCCCCUCUCUUUCUCCUUUUCACAUUCUUUCUGGAUCCCUCUCUGCCUCUGUCCUCUUUCUCUCUCUACCCACCCCCUUCCCACUGCUGAUCCCCCCUCUCCCUCUCUGGAGCUCAGCGACCUGGUCCCCACUCCCCAAGCAUGAAGUGGGCUCAGUUUCCAGGAUAGCUAAUAAUGCACAUCGAGGGUUCAUUUCUCUCGUUCCCCGUCAACUCUCCUUCCAUGUCAGAAUCCCCCGAGUCUGGCCAAAAGUGCUUCCUAGGAAAGCGCCCACGUGCCGUAGCAGAAGCCACCCAGCCACGCUGUGCCCUGGGGAGCCCCAGAGAAGGGGGGCUCGUGGACUGCGGCAUGCAGCGUGCCGGGAUUUCUCUGGCGGGGUUCCAGCCAGUCAGGGCCAAUUAAUAUGAAAUCAAUAGGCCCAAUCGACGUUUCCAGAAGUUAGCUCAAAAAAAAAAAAAAAAAAUCCCCGAAGAUGAACCAGCCUGUGGCCUUUGCUAUGAAAUUGUUACCACACCACUUUCUUUUCUUUUGAAAGUCCAGAUGGGCAGAUAAAUCCGAAGUGGAUCACCCACAUCUGUCAUUCCCCACACACACACAAAUUACACCCCCGCCCACCACUUCCCUCUUUCCUCUCCAACAUUCAACGACACUUGGAGUCCGGGCUGGACUGAUAUUUUAGGCCGCACUGUAUGUUUUGAAUUCCCCCAUUGUAUUAAGAGGAACUGCAUCGCGACCCCUCCGAGGCAAAGAGCUGGCACAUUCUGGAAAGCUGCCUUUUCCCGAGGCGAGGGCUGCAGGGGUGCAGGGGACCGCCUCCUCCCGGGUUCAGAAUGGGCCAACAGGCAAACCCAGCCGCAUCGGCUCCUUGCUGUCCUGUUCAGCACCAGCAUACUCGGACCCAGAAAGCUUAGGUGGCUCGUCUCCAUUUACAAAGUCCUCCUUUUCUACACUUGCUAGGCAAUGUAGUGCCCUGCCCAACCAACAUGAGCUUACUCCUAAAGCCCUUCCCGGAGAGGGGGGUAUGGAGGCGGGAAGGGGAGACACCAGAGG
RNAcentral lists this long non-coding RNA (2000 nucleotides) under Mustela putorius furo (domestic ferret). RNAcentral's name for it is "lncRNA (ENSMPUG00000027924.1)". The record is from RNAcentral. Lineage: Eukaryota; Metazoa; Chordata; Mammalia; Carnivora; Mustelidae.